Molecule: ribosomal RNA, 244 nt
Filed under: uncultured bacterium
Lineage: Bacteria
Description: partial 16S ribosomal RNA
Rfam family: Bacterial small subunit ribosomal RNA
Source: RNAcentral
GUCAUGGCUCAGGAUGAACGCUAGCGGCAGGCCUAACGCAUGCAAGUCGAGGGGCAGCGGGGUUGAAGCUUGCUUCAAUUGCCGGCGACCGGCGCACGGGUGCGUAACGCGUAUGCAACCUACCCAGAACAGGGGGAUAACACUGAGAAAUUGGUACUAAUACCCCAUAAUAUAUUGGAAGGCAUCUUCCGAUGUUGAAAACUCCGGUGGUUUUGGAUGGGCAUGCGUUGUAUUAGCUGGUUGG